AAAAAAACAAACCAUAGGUUUUCAUGCCAACAUUUAAAUGUCCAUCUUAUACGAAAUUUUUUUAUAAUUAGUAUUUUUAUUGUUGUUAGAUGAUAAAACAUGAUUAAUACUUUAUGCGUGACUUAUCUUUUAAUUUUUUUUAUAAUUUUUUCAAAUAAGACGGACGGUCAAACGUUGGACACGGAAACCAGGGUUUGUCUUUUU
Molecule: non-coding RNA, 204 nt
Organism: Oryza nivara
Lineage: Eukaryota; Viridiplantae; Streptophyta; Magnoliopsida; Poales; Poaceae
Source: Rfam